UUUAAAGCCUGGGUGAAAUGGGGCAGAAAGAGCCCAGAAUAUACAGGCUAGAGAAACUCAGGAACUACUGACCCACAGGGAAGGCAAGCGGAGAUAUGAGACGGAGGAAUCAAACGCUGCCCUGGUGGAGGACGCUGUGGGUUUACAGUGGAUGAUUUCCUCUGCCUAUGAGAUAAAAGGGCUGGCUCUGUACUUUGAACCCCAGCCUCACCCACCUCUGCCUGGGUGUGGCUCUUACUCUCUGGAAGACUUACUCAGGGGAGAGGACAGGACAGUGUGAGGCUUGAAUCUCCAGGAAAUAGAGUCUGUGGGCAGCCAUUGACUCCGAGUCAAUGAGAACAAGGUGUGCUGUUUCCUCUGUGCUGUUUCUUCCCUGCCCCACUCCCCGCCCCUUUGUCCUAUGGUGCCCAGGCUGC
RNAcentral lists this long non-coding RNA (416 nucleotides) under Homo sapiens (human). RNAcentral's name for it is "HSALNT0209201". Lineage: Eukaryota; Metazoa; Chordata; Mammalia; Primates; Hominidae. The record is from RNAcentral.